AUUAGUCAAAGAGAAAAAUAAUUAUCUGCUAAUCUACAAAAAAAAAUGAACCUUUUAAUUAAAGCACAUCAUCUUCUAGUUCUGGCAAAGCUAGAGACGAAACCUGCAAACAAGUCCUGACUGCAAGGGAUGAUGAGGCCACCCAUAGAGCGAGUUGUGUCUUUGCUUUCUAAUAAGAAAAGCUCAUUCUUGAAGAAAUCAAUCAACGCAGAUUAAUUAGGUAACAAAAGUUUGCUCCAUAAAUUUUCAUGUAUAUUCAUUCAUCUACUAUUAUGUAUUGCCAAUGGAUACAUAUAUAUAUACAUUUUCUAAUCUAUAAAAUUCUAUUCCUCCUAAAACCAUUGCUACAAAUCAUCUUGAGCUGAAGCCAGAGAUGAAAUCUACAAAUAACUCUUGACUGCAAGGGAUGGUGAGGCCGCCCAUCGGGUGAUUGAAUCCGAAUUCUUCCUCAGCUU
Molecule: long non-coding RNA, 455 nt
Filed under: Salvia miltiorrhiza (redroot sage)
Lineage: Eukaryota; Viridiplantae; Streptophyta; Magnoliopsida; Lamiales; Lamiaceae
Description: long non-coding RNA (SMIL_LNC000218)
Source: RNAcentral